AAUUUUGGACAAUGGGGGAAAUCCUGACCUAGCCAUCCCGCGAGUAUGCUGAAGGCAANAGGGUANANAAGUAAUUUUGGCAGAGNCAAAAAGGUACCCCCUCAUACGGGAAACUGCUGACUGUAUCUGCAGAAUAAGCACCGACGAACUACGAGCCAUCAGCUGCGGUCACACGUAGGGUGCAAGCGUUAACCGGAAUUACGUGGCGUAAGGGUUGUGUAAGCGGUUCGUAAAGAAAGAUGUGGACUCCCAGGGGUGAAGCUUGGAACUGCAUUUUUACAUACCGGGCUAGAUUAUGUCAGGAGGGGGUAGAAUUCCACGUGUAGCAGUGAAAUGCGUAGAUAUGUUGAGGAAUACCGAUGGCGAAGGCAGCCCCCUGGGAUAAUACUGACGCUCAGACACGAAAGCGUGGGGAGCAAACAGG
RNAcentral lists this ribosomal RNA (424 nucleotides) under uncultured bacterium. RNAcentral describes it as "partial 16S ribosomal RNA". It matches the Rfam family "Bacterial small subunit ribosomal RNA", at positions 360 to 776 of the family's 1533-position model. The record is from RNAcentral.